UUCCCAGACUCCUACGGGAGGCAGCAGUGGGGGAUAUUGCACAAUGGGGGGAACCCUGAUGCAGCGACGCCGCGUGGGUGAAGGAGCGUUUCGGCGCGUAAAGCCCUAUCGGCAGGGAAGAAGGAGGACGGUACCUGACUAAGAAGCCCCGGCUAACUACGUGCCAGCAGCCGCGGUAAUACGUAGGUGGCAAGCGUUGUCCGGAUUUACUGGGUGUAAAGGGCGUGCAGCCGGAGAGACAAGUCAGAUGUGAAAUCCACGGGCUCAACCCGUGAACUGCAUUUGAAACUGUUUCCCUUGAGUGUCGGAGAGGUAAUCGGAAUUCCUUGUGUAGCGGUGAAAUGCGUAGAUAUAAGGAAGAACACCAGUGGCGAAGGCGGGUUACUGGACGAUAACUGACGGUGAGGCGCGAAAGCGUGGGGAGCAAACAGGAUUAGAUACCCCAGUA
This 448-nucleotide ribosomal RNA is filed under the name uncultured bacterium. RNAcentral's name for it is "bacterial SSU rRNA". It matches the Rfam family "Bacterial small subunit ribosomal RNA", at positions 328 to 792 of the family's 1533-position model. The record is from RNAcentral.